GAUGAACGCUGGCGGCGUGCCUAAUACAUGCAAGUCGAGCGAACGGACGAGAAGCUUGCUUCUCUGAUGUUAGCGGCGGACGGGUGAGUAACACGUGGAUAACCUACCUAUAAGACUGGGAUAACUUCGGGAAACCGGAGCUAAUACCGGAUAAUAUUUUGAACCGCAUGGUUCAAAAGUGAAAGACGGUCUUGCUGUCACUUAUAGAUGGAUCCGCGCUGGAUUAGCUAGUUGGUAAGGUAACGGCUUACCUAGGCAACGAUGCAUAGCCGACCUGAGAGGGUGAUCGGCCACACUGGAACUGAGACACGGUCCAGACUCCUACGGGAGGCAGCAGUAGGGAAUCUUCCGCAAUGGGCGAAAGCCUGACGGAGCAACGCCGCGUGAGUGAUGAAGGUCUUCGGAUCGUAAAACUCUGUUAUUAGGGAAGAACAUAUGUGUAAGUAACUGUGCACAUCUUGACGGUACCUAAUCAGAAAGCCACGGCUAACUACGUG
RNAcentral lists this ribosomal RNA (497 nucleotides) under uncultured bacterium. Its description in RNAcentral is "partial 16S ribosomal RNA". It matches the Rfam family "Bacterial small subunit ribosomal RNA", at positions 28 to 507 of the family's 1533-position model. The record is from RNAcentral.